Molecule: ribosomal RNA, 465 nt
Filed under: Vreelandella stevensii
Lineage: Bacteria; Pseudomonadati; Pseudomonadota; Gammaproteobacteria; Oceanospirillales; Halomonadaceae
Description: partial 16S ribosomal RNA
Rfam family: Bacterial small subunit ribosomal RNA
Source: RNAcentral
CCUACGGGAGGCUGCAGUGGGGAAUAUUGGACAAUGGGCGAAAGCCUGAUCCAGCCAUGCCGCGUGUGUGAAGAAGGCCUUCGGGUUGUAAAGCACUUUCAGUGGGGAAGAAAGCCUUGGGGCUAAUACCCUCGAGGAAGGACAUCACCCACAGAAGAAGCACCGGCUAACUCCGUGCCAGCAGCCGCGGUAAUACGGAGGGUGCGAGCGUUAAUCGGAAUUACUGGGCGUAAAGCGCGCGUAGGCGGUCUGAUAAGCCGGUUGUGAAAGCCCCGGGCUCAACCUGGGAACGGCAUCCGGAACUGUCAGGCUGGAGUGCAGGAGAGGAAGGUAGAAUUCCCGGUGUAGCGGUGAAAUGCGUAGAGAUCGGGAGGAAUACCAGUGGCGAAGGCGGCCUUCUGGACUGACACUGACGCUGAGGUGCGAAAGCGUGGGUAGCAAACAGGAUUAGAUACCCGGGUAGUC